AGGUCAAAAGACAUCAGUACAUUGAAUGUACGAGUAUGUAAUAAAGGUGAAUGGAUAAAUAAGUGGAAUGAUAAGGCUAAAAGAAUGCUUUCCUCAACUAUAUUCAAUACAAAGCAAUGAUAAGAGAUGAAAAUAUUUAAAGCAUCAUAAAUAAAAGAUUUUAACUCAUUGAUGUUUAUAAAAAUAUAAUAAAAAUAAUCUUUACUCUUAUUUGAGAGAUUCUCUAACCAACAACCAUCACUAUGAGCUAUGUGAUGAUACAAUGUCUCUCCCACGGUUCCAGUACUGUCAUAUGCCUUGUCGGGGUAUUGAACACCUCAACUAAGUGGAUCCACUAAACCUCUGCUUGAAAGCAAUAAAGAGUCAAUAAAAAGUACAAUCCCUUACCUAUGUAAGAUGUGCAUUAAGAUUAAGAUAUCAUAAUCUGAAUAUUAAGAUGUAGUUUCUAUGUAUAAUUAUUGAAUCAUUAAGAUUGUUUAUUUUUAAUAACUGAAUGUGCAUAAUUUAUUUCAUUUUAAAAUUAAGAAUUAAGCAUUGUAUGGAUAAAAGUUAUAAUCCAAACAAAAGUUAACUUCUUCCAAAAAAUUGUUUCAAAAAUAAGUUUAUAACCCACCCUAGAAAAAAAUUUAUUCAUUUGUUUUCUCAAAAAAAAUAAUCUCAAGAAACAAUGAUACCUUCUUUAACAACAAACAAAUUGUGAAAAGAAGAGUCCUUCAUAAAUAUCAAUUCACCCAAGAAUAUUGUAUAUAUUAAAAACAUUAGAUAAAUACUUGUAAAAGAUUAUGAAAAGUUAUUUAUUAAAAGAAAAUGGUACUUGGUUGAAACUAUCCCAGAAGAGAAGCAAGGAAGAAGAGAAUUUGUUUUCGAAAGAACACUUAUUAUUUUAAUAGAGUCUGAAUGGUAUUAAAGUCUCAUUUGUUUUCACUUAAUGAAGGUCUGAAUUUGAAUGAUUUAAACAUUGGGCCAUUAAGUGCGUUUGUUUUCUUUUUGAAAAAAAAAAUCACUUAAUGGGUCUGAAUGAAUCUGAUUUGCUCAGAUAUAUGAGGGAGUCUUAUUUCUAUACAGACUCUUUUUAACGCUAAUUUAUUUCCCCAUAAAGCUCACACAUAAUUUUUUUUCUCUCUCGAUAUGUUGCCUCUCUCUCCUAUUCUCUUCAUUAUCAACAUAAAUUAUUUUUUUUUCUCUUAUAUACAUUGCCUCCCUCCCCUCUCUCCAUGGAGUUGAAUUUUUUUCCUAUUGAACAAGUAUGUCUUAAAAAAAAAUGUUUUACAAGUACUUUGUUCAUUAAUAUGUAUCUUAAAAAUAUUCUUGGUAUUAUUGUUUACUUCUUAUGAACUCUGAAAUUUUGGUUGCAAAUUUAUAUUUUGUUUAUAAAAUUAGAGGUCUUGUGUGUGCUUAUUCAAUAAUACAAAAUAUGCGCUAAAAAAGUUUAGGUAUUAUCUUUUUCUUCUUGUUUUUUCCAAAAGAAUUGUGGUAAUAAGAGAAUCUAAAUAAAAUUAGAAGCCUAACACCAAAUUAUAACAAAAGGCCUUAAAUAUUUACACACAUGCACAAAAAUAAUAUUAAUUUUGGGUUACCUUUUCUAUUCUUACAUACUAAUUAUUUUUUGUUUAUAUUCUAAAGAGGCCCUAAGCGUUUAACCUCACAUAGUAAUAUUAUUAUUUAUAAAACUAAGAAUUUGUUUUAGUUAAAAAGGUUAGACAUUUGUUUGUGUUGCCUUUUUUUUAUAUAUUCUUAUAUGUUUUUGGAUCUAUGUCAAGAAUGUCUGAAUAAAAUUAGUAGCCUAACACCAAAUUAUCACAAGAGGACUUAAAUAUUUAUAUACAUAUAUAAUAAUAUUAUUAAUUUAGGGUUGCCUUUUUUAUUCUUACAUACUACUUGUUUUUUUGUUUAUAUUCUCAAAAGAGACUAAGCAUUUAACUUCACAUAGUAAUAUUAUAAUGUAUCAAAGUAAGAACUAGUUGUAGCUAAUAAGAAGUUAGACAUUUGGCUGGAUUGCCUUUUUUAUUCUUGUAUGUUUUUGGAUCUUUGCCAAGCAUGUCUCAGUAAAAUUACUAGUCUAUCACCAAAUUAUAAAAAGAGAACUUAAAUAUUUACACACCUGCACAAAAAUAUUAAUUAUUAAUUUAGACGUGCAUUCAGAUGCCAAAAUCAAACAAUCUUAAUCAUUAUAUGUUCUGAUCUAGUGAGAAUAUCUUAACCAUUUAGACAUACAUUUAGAUUUAGACGUUUUAAUCUUAAUGAAAACAAAUGAGGCCUAAGACUCAAUUAUAGAUAUGAUUCAUUCAGACCCAUUAAGAGGUUCUUUAAAAAUAGAAACAAAUGGACUUAAUAGGCUGAAUAUGAAUGAUUAAGAUUCAGACCUCCAAUAAGUGCCAACAAAUUAUUGGAAAAAUGAUUCUAGUAUCUCCAAAGGAAUUAUUUUAUUUCCUAUUAUAUUUGAAAGAGAAUAUUCUUUAUUUCCUAAAUAUUUUCUCUCCAUAAAUAAUAUUCUAUUGCCAUUAUUAUUGUCCUUUAAUUAGCCAUUAUUUUCUGUCAUAAUAUGGUUGUUGCCAACGACUCUUUGAUGAAAAUGUAUUGCCUUCAAUUCAUUGAUUGUAUUCAAUGCCUUUAUGGUUUUUUGACUAUUUCAACCAUUGAUAUAUUAGAGAGGUUACUGAUUUUCCUAUAUAAAUCUAAGUCGCAUACUUGUGGUGUGGGAUAGAAGAGAAGAUGAUAAUUCUUCUUUUAAUAUAUUAUUUUGCUGAAUUUUCUUUCUAUUGAAUCUUUGUUAGUUUUUGGCUCCUAGUUUUACAAUAGAAGAGCUUGUUGAAUCUUGGGGGAUAAAUCUAUACCGGGUGAAAUAUCCUUAAGGACACUUUCUUUCGACACGCCUCAAGCUAUGAGAAUUCCCUAUAAGAGUUCGUGGUGAAGUACACGGUUUGGUGAAUUUUGUACAAGUGUUCAUUAUGAAGGUAUUUUCCGUAAGAUUUCUAACAAUCUUAAGGAUAUUUUAAACUUUGUUCUUACGAAAAACAAUAUCUCUCUCUUUGAAAAUAAUCAUGAAGAAGAUUGUAUCAUUUAAGUCUCUCUUGUACAAAUUUUCCUCACGAUGCUUGUCAAUUGUUUGGACGUUAUUUGCAAUAGCUAGCAUACCAAUUUUUUUUUAUUGAAUUUGUUAAAGUUUGCAAAGUGAAGAGGGGGGGGGGGGGGGGGGGGGGGGGGGGGGGGGGGGGACAGAAAGAUGGAUUUGAAAAUAUAUUGAAAUAGGGGUACCAAUUGUGUGAUUUAAUUUGUAGGAGGAAAAAAAAGAGAAAGAAAGGGAGAGUGGAAUUCUGGUCGGCCUGAAGGUGCGCUACUUAAUUGACGUUUCCUACUUGGAUGUUGCUCUUCUCAAAUUUACUAUAUAAACUAGAUAGAUAAGUCCUUAUUAUGGAGGAUCGGUUGUGCUAAUAAUCUAAAGUAUGUACCACACUUCUUUACGAUUUUAAUGGAUGUGUAUGUGGUAAAUUAAGUUAUCAUCUCCCUCAAUAGAGAAGAAGAUUUGAAAAAAUGAGAAUCCCGCUAAGUAACAAUAAAUUUGACUAAGCGGAUGAUAUAAAUUGGUGUGGUCAUUUUUCGAGCGAAUCUUAUGCCUAAAAUGUGAAAGUGAGAGAUCGGUGUUAGACUUUGGUGUUUUUGAAGCAUAUUUGUGCUAACUAAAAUUAUUGUGUCUUCACCCAAAUUGGAGAAGAAGAAAAAAUUAUAUAUGUUGGUGAUUCUAGAACUACUUGAAGUUCUUAGAAUGAAAAGUUCUUUUUAAAUAUUCACAUUUAUAUAUUGGAAUUAUCUGAGGUGAUAUAUUAUUUUAAUAUUUGUGCUAGAUUAGUACUUGGAAUUUUAUGAGUAAAAGUUGAUUAUUGUGAAUUUGUGAAAAGAUUUAAUGAAUGUUUUUUUUUUAAUAUGAUAAUGUGUUAACAAAUGUCAUUAUUAGCAAUGAUGGUAUAUUAAAAAUGAUUUAUUUGUGGCUAAUAUUGUUCAAGAUGAAAAUGCUAGUGCCUAUAUUUAGUUUAUUGAUUCAUUUGAAUUGUGAUAUAUUAAAUGUGUACAUUUUAAUUAGUGUGUAUAUAUAUAUAUACAUAGUACCUUUUCUUCUUGAAUGACCAACUAAUGAAAUGACCGUUUUUGUUAACUCUUAAUUGCUCAUAUUAUUUACUCUUAAUUGAAAUUUAGUACUGUAACUUAAAGUCUAACUAUGUGAAAGAGAUAUUUCUAGCUUAUAUAUGUCUAUAUAUGUGUUUUUCGCUUGAAAAAGUGUAUGAUUUUUGUUGAGAAAUAAAAAUUUACUCAUUUGAUAUAUUUCAAUAUGUUAUUGUGGCAUACAAAAUUGAAAACUUUCUGAACAUUGAAAAAGUUUCCCUCUUUUAUGAAAUAUAUGAAACUGUAGGGGUGUCUUACUAAGGUUGUGUUACAUAAUCCUAUGAAAGAAAAACUAGAAUUUAAGUUUCUUGAUCGUAUGCUAAUAAAUACUGCAUAUACAUAUUUGUAGUACUCGAUUGUGAUGUGAUUGAAUGCACUAUUAUAGUGGGAAAAAUAAUAAUUUAUAGUUGAGAGUUUUUUAAAGUGACUAUAUUCUUCAUGUUCUUGUUGAAAAUGAUAUUGUUUCUUGAUGUGUUAAUUUUGGAAAGAAGUUAUAAGUGAUACACAGAAGUACCAAAUAAAUUGAAUAUUUUGUUAUACCAGAAGUGUACAAUGAUGAAAUGUGAAUCUCAAAAUUCACUAGUGACUAUGAACUAUGAUUGGUGUGUGGUGCCAUAACAUGAAAAAUUAACUAAAUAAAGUCAGUUGUUGUGGAGUUGAUUGGUGAUGAGACUAAGUGGUUAAGACAACUCUUACUGUGUAUUCAAAUUGGAAUAAAAUCAAUGUUUUGCGCGGCUAACUUAGAUACAUGUUUUUGAGACACAAUGUUAUAAAGUACUAAAGUGAGAUUAAAUUAUUCACAUAAAUUGUGUGUAGUCGGAGGUGAAUCUGAUUAAUUCACUGACUAAAUGAAAUAUCGAGGGGAGUAAGACCUUUAGUCAUUUGAGAAGAUCAACAAUGAUGGUAACCCAACCUUUGUGGUUGGAAAUCCCAUUAAUUAGGUUCAUAUGGGUAAUAACAAGUCAUUAGUUGAUCAAGUAAGCACUAUAUAAUUAUGUCCCUCCUAUGAUGUGUGAAUAUAGUGCAACAAUCUGCAAGGCAAAGUGAGGCUGAGUUAAACUCUUAAUCCAAGUCAUAUCCUUUAUAGGUGGUGUAUUGCUCUGCAGGAUACACUUGAUGAUUGGACCUAUAUGAGUGUGAAGUGGUGUCGCUUCUAUGAAAUUGUGAUAGAUUUCUAGAGCACUCAUGAAUAUUAGGACAUGCGCAUGGCCUCUUAGCAGAAAACCACAAUAACGACAAAGAUUGUGGGAGUUUAAUGUGAUAGAAUAAGACGCUGGACUUACAAAAGAAUUAUUGAUUCAUAGUAGUUCUAAACUUCACCAGUUGUUCUGUAAGUUUAAUCUUGUUCUAUCUAGGUCUGGUUCAUAGUAUAUGGGCACCAUAUUCGAUGCGUUGUACUCAUAUGUGACAACCCAGUAAAACUUCUCAUUUCAUUUUAUUCCUUAAGAUUAUGUUUUAGAUAUGUUGGGGAUUGUUGGAAAAAUUGUUACAGAGAAGGGUUAAAAUUCUGCAUUGAAAGGCAACUCACUCCUAUCAUAAUUGAGGCAGACUCCCUUACCAAGGUGAAUAUUUUGGAUGGUAUUUGGAAAGUUCCAUGGAGUGUGACAUUGGAGGUCAACUCGAUAAACAAAUUAAGGGAAGGAGUGGGGGUUACUAUUCAACAUGUCUUGAGAGAAGGGAAAACUCUGGUGGAUAUUUUUGCUAACCUAGUUUUUUAUUUUGCAGGUGAUUUUCAGAUGAAUAAUUUUCAAGAAGUCCCAUCUUAUGGGAAAAAAUCAUUAAUCUAGACAAGCAACAUACUGCAAAUCUGAGAGUAAGGCAAGUUAACAGAGAUCAACUGGAGCAAGCUAACUCCUGCAAGCCAUAGAUCACUCUAGCAUAAAGCAUAGACAGUAAGAUUUUCAUAUCAUAAGCAGUUAAUAGCAUUUCAUGAUUGGUCGUUUGGAACCAUCGCACCUGGUGAGAGCUUGAGGUGUUCGUGGUGGUUGCACACCAAGGCAAAUAGACAUUUUGUGCAGUAUGAACAUCUGCUAUCCAACAAUCUUUUUAUCUAUGAGCUACAUCAAGUAUUUGCAGAUUUAUUAUCUAUCAAGUUAAUGUACAUAAUCUCACUGGACAUUUCAGCUAAUGUCAUCUUUCUAAAGUGUGGUAUUAGCCUCUACGGAAGCUCAUUCACUAGGAAGGAUGACAAGAGAUGAGGUGUUAUACAGUUUCCACAAAGAGAGUACAGAUCUGAAAAGUAUAGUUAACAAGAUAAGUGGUCAAAGAUAAAACCUGACUUCAAAUCUGAUAUUGCAACACACCGUCUUGCAACACACCGUCCUGACUUGCUCAGACGAAUCUUCAACCGACAUUUCUAAGUGAUGGAUGACUUAUGUCUCAGAUCGAAGUUACAAAGAUGAAAUCUUGAAAUGCAUAUGUUGAUGAUGAGUUAAGAAGUCCAAAUCGUUGAUGAAGUUCUGGAAAGGUUUCCUAUUUGAUUCUAAUGGUUAUUGUCUUCUCUUUGAUUUUUUUAAUUUGUUUAUUUUAAGUGUUAGAAGACUUUGGGAAUUUGGACCGAGUCUUUUGGAGGUGAUGUGGGCCUUUUGGCUUUUUCUUAAUAAAUUAUGGUCAUUGACCAUUUUUUAUUUUAAAAAAAAGUAUACUUGUGGUGUGGGAGAGAAGAAAAGGUAAUAAUUAUUCUUUUAAUAUAUUCUUAUGAUGG
RNAcentral lists this long non-coding RNA (6862 nucleotides) under Solanum tuberosum (potato). RNAcentral describes it as "long non-coding RNA (STUB_LNC010686)". The record is from RNAcentral. Lineage: Eukaryota; Viridiplantae; Streptophyta; Magnoliopsida; Solanales; Solanaceae.